UCUCUCUUCCACUGCAUCACACUUGGGGAAGAUGCAAGAAUGACUUUCCGGACUGCAAAGCCCUCAGAAGGAUCACUGUUAAAUUCUUCACAUUGAAACACGGAUUUAAGAAGAUAACAACUAAAGACUGGCAUCUGUGGUCCUCACACAACUGAAUACUCCUACUUAUUUACUGGGCAUUUAA
Oxyura jamaicensis (ruddy duck) is the source of this 184-nucleotide long non-coding RNA. RefSeq lists it as uncharacterized. The transcript is spliced from 2 exons. Lineage: Eukaryota; Metazoa; Chordata; Aves; Anseriformes; Anatidae. The record is from RefSeq and is a predicted model, not a curated record.